This 76-nucleotide transfer RNA is filed under the name Bryobacterales bacterium. RNAcentral describes it as "tRNA-Ile". It matches the Rfam family "tRNA". Rfam says of the family: Transfer RNA (tRNA) molecules are approximately 80 nucleotides in length. Their secondary structure includes four short double-helical elements and three loops (D, anti-codon, and T loops). RNAcentral also lists the same sequence under 1 other name. The record is from RNAcentral. Lineage: Bacteria; Pseudomonadati; Acidobacteriota; Terriglobia; Bryobacterales.
GGGCCCUUAGCUCAGCGGUUAGAGCUGCGGACUCAUAAUCCGUAGGCCGCAGGUUCGAAUCCUGCAGGGCCCACCA